GGCCAGGUAGCUCAGUUGGUUGGAGCGUCAUCCUGUACACCUAAAGGUUGUGGGUUCAACUCCCAUUCAGGGCA
This 74-nucleotide transfer RNA is filed under the name Myotis davidii. It matches the Rfam family "tRNA". From Rfam's summary of the family: Transfer RNA (tRNA) molecules are approximately 80 nucleotides in length. Their secondary structure includes four short double-helical elements and three loops (D, anti-codon, and T loops). Lineage: Eukaryota; Metazoa; Chordata; Mammalia; Chiroptera; Vespertilionidae. The record is from Rfam by way of RNAcentral.